AGAGUUUGAUCCUGGCUCAGAAUCAACGCUGGCGGCGCGCUUAACACAUGCAAGUCGCACGAGAAAGUGGAGCAAUCCAUGAGUACAGUGGCGUACGGGUGAGUAACACGUGGAUCAUCUACCUCUUAGUGGGGAAUAACCCUGGGAAACCGGGGCUAAUACCGCAUAAGCUCGAGAGAGGAAAGCAGCAAUGCGCUGAGAGAGGAGUCCGCGGCCGAUUAGCUAGUUGGCAGGGUAAACGCCUACCAAGGCAAAGAUCGGUAGCCGGCCUGAGAGGGCACACGGCCACACUGGCACUGAAACACGGGCCAGACUCCUACGGGAGGCAGCAGUGGGGAAUCUUGCACAAUGGGGGAAACCCUGAUGCAGCGACGCCGCGUGAGCGAUGAAGCCCUUCGGGGUGUAAAGCUCUUUCGGCAGGGACGAUCAUGACGGUACCUGCAGAAGCAGCUGCGGCUAACUACGUGCCAGCAGCCGCGGUAAUACGUAGGCAGCGAGCGUUGUUCGGAGUUACUGGGCGUAAAGGGUGUGUAGGCGGUUGCUUAAGUUUGGUGUGAAAUCUCCCGGCUCAACUGGGAGGGUGCGCCGAAUACUGAGUGACUCGAGUGCGGGAGAGGAGAGUGGAAUUCCUGGUGUAGCGGUGAAAUGCGUAGAUAUCAGGAGGAACACCGGCGGUGUAGACGGCUCUCUGGACCGUAACUGACGCUGAGACACGAAAGCGUGGGUAGCAAACAGGAUUAGAUACCCUGGUAGUCCACGCCCUAAACGGUGCAUAUUUGGUGUGGGUCAUUCAGUUGAUCCGUGCCGGAGCUAACGCGUUAAAUAUGCCGCCUGGGGAGUACAGUCGCAAGGCUGAAACUCAAAGGAAUUGACGGGGGCCCGCACAAGCGGUGGAGCAUGUGGUUCAAUUCGACGCAACGCGAAGACCUUACCUGGGCUCGAACGGCUGGUUACCGGCGUGAAACAUCGCUACCCGCAAGGGGUCCAGUCGAGGUGCUGCAUGGCUGUCGUCA
Molecule: ribosomal RNA, 1013 nt
Filed under: uncultured bacterium
Lineage: Bacteria
Description: bacterial SSU rRNA
Rfam family: Bacterial small subunit ribosomal RNA
Source: RNAcentral